GACGUAGGGAGCGAGCGUUGUCCGGAUUCAUUGGGCGUAAAGAGCGCGCAGGCGGUUUGGUAAGUCGGAUGUGAAAACCCGGGGCUCAACCCCGGGCGUGCAUCUCGAUACUGCCCGACUAGAGGUAGGUAGGGGAGAUCGGAAUUCCUGGUGUAGCGGUGAAAUGCGCAGAUAUCAGGAGGAACACCGAUGGCGAAGGCGGCUGACUGGACCGGUACUGACGCUGAGGCGCGAAAGCGUGGGGAGCAAACGGG
Molecule: ribosomal RNA, 254 nt
Filed under: uncultured bacterium
Lineage: Bacteria
Description: partial 16S ribosomal RNA
Rfam family: Bacterial small subunit ribosomal RNA
Source: RNAcentral